GCCGAGGUCGCAUAACCUGGUAGUGCGCAAGACCUUACUAGCUUGUUUCCGAAAGGAUAUCUGGGUUCAAAUCCCAGCCUCGGCG
This 85-nucleotide transfer RNA is filed under the name Candidatus Woesearchaeota archaeon. Its description in RNAcentral is "tRNA-Val". It matches the Rfam family "tRNA". From Rfam's summary of the family: Transfer RNA (tRNA) molecules are approximately 80 nucleotides in length. Their secondary structure includes four short double-helical elements and three loops (D, anti-codon, and T loops). The record is from RNAcentral. Lineage: Archaea; Nanobdellati; Candidatus Woesearchaeota.